ACGUAUGCAACAUGCACAUGUUUCUGAAUUUAACUUAAUAUGCAAAAUUAGGAAAUUCAGUUGUGUAUGGAAAUUAGCAAUGUGAAUAAAUGUUACUUAACAUAAGUAGCUCUGCAGCACUUUCAUUGGGUUAAAGUAGCUCACAAAAGAUAAAAGGUUGGAGACCCCUGCUCUAAACACUUGAGCAGAUAUG
Melanotaenia boesemani (Boeseman's rainbowfish) is the source of this 193-nucleotide long non-coding RNA. RefSeq lists it as uncharacterized. NCBI's taxonomy places the organism in Eukaryota, Metazoa, Chordata, Actinopteri, Atheriniformes, Melanotaeniidae. The transcript is spliced from 3 exons. The record is from RefSeq and is a predicted model, not a curated record.